This 430-nucleotide ribosomal RNA is filed under the name Escherichia coli. RNAcentral's name for it is "partial 23S ribosomal RNA". It matches the Rfam family "Bacterial large subunit ribosomal RNA", at positions 2373 to 2802 of the family's 2925-position model. Lineage: Bacteria; Pseudomonadati; Pseudomonadota; Gammaproteobacteria; Enterobacterales; Enterobacteriaceae. RNAcentral also lists the same sequence under 6 other names. The record is from RNAcentral.
CUGCGAGCGUGACGGCGCGAGCAGGUGCGAAAGCAGGUCAUAGUGAUCCGGUGGUUCUGAAUGGAAGGGCCAUCGCUCAACGGAUAAAAGGUACUCCGGGGAUAACAGGCUGAUACCGCCCAAGAGUUCAUAUCGACGGCGGUGUUUGGCACCUCGAUGUCGGCUCAUCACAUCCUGGGGCUGAAGUAGGUCCCAAGGGUAUGGCUGUUCGCCAUUUAAAGUGGUACGCGAGCUGGGUUUAGAACGUCGUGAGACAGUUCGGUCCCUAUCUGCCGUGGGCGCUGGAGAACUGAGGGGGGCUGCUCCUAGUACGAGAGGACCGGAGUGGACGCAUCACUGGUGUUCGGGUUGUCAUGCCAAUGGCACUGCCCGGUAGCUAAAUGCGGAAGAGAUAAGUGCUGAAAGCAUCUAAGCACGAAACUUGCCCCGA